AGGGAUCAUUACUGAGUGAGGGCCUUCGGGCUCGACCUCCAACCCUUUGUGAACACAACUUGUUGCUUCGGGGGCGACCCUGCCGUUUCGACGGCGAGCGCCCCCGGAGGCCUUCAAACACUGCAUCUUUGCGUCGGAGUUUAAGUAAAUUAAACAAAACUUUCAACAACGGAUCUCUUGGUUCUGGCAUCGAUGAAGAACGCAGCGAAAUGCGAUAAGUAAUGUGAAUUGCAGAAUUCAGUGAAUCAUCGAAUCUUUGAACGCACAUUGCGCCCCUUGGUAUUCCGAGGGGCAUGCCUGUUCGAGCGUCAUUUCACCACUCAAGCCUCGCUUGGUAUUGGGCGCCGCGGUGUUCCGCGCGCCUCAAAGUCUCCGGCUGAGCUGUCCGUCUCUAAGCGUUGUGAUUUCAUUAAUCGCUUCGGAGCGCGGGCGGUCGCGGCCGUUAAAUCUUUCACAAGGUUGACCUCGGAUCAGGUAGGGAUACCCGCUGAACUUAA
Molecule: ribosomal RNA, 497 nt
Filed under: Cercospora beticola
Lineage: Eukaryota; Fungi; Ascomycota; Dothideomycetes; Mycosphaerellales; Mycosphaerellaceae
Also listed under: 7 other names
Description: eukaryotic LSU rRNA
Rfam family: 5.8S ribosomal RNA (bases 158-311)
Source: RNAcentral